AGUGGAAUGAGACGAAGAGGAGCAGGGCGGGGGCGGACAACGCUGAAAAACAAGGUAGUUUGUUUUAAGUCACAGCUCACCAAGCAGAGCGAUGGCCAGGAGGAUGCUUUCCUGGAAGACGCGGUCACUUGUGGUGUUCAUGAUGAGGUCGAUAACCAGAUCCGAAGCUCCUUCUCUGUCCAGAUGACACUGGACUUCUGUCAGGCUCAUUUCCCCGCGACUCAGACCACCAUGACCCCCCAAAACUGUCCCACACAGAACAUACAAGGAGGAAAACAGUCAGGACUGUAGAAUCUACUUUGCUUAUUUUCCUCGUGUACAUAAAAGAAACAAUUCUGCAAAUAGUUGG
This 349-nucleotide long non-coding RNA is filed under the name Oryzias javanicus (javanese ricefish). Its description in RNAcentral is "lncRNA (ENSOJAG00000018972.1)". Lineage: Eukaryota; Metazoa; Chordata; Actinopteri; Beloniformes; Adrianichthyidae. The record is from RNAcentral.